This 3114-nucleotide long non-coding RNA is filed under the name Sus scrofa (pig). RNAcentral's name for it is "lncRNA (ENSSSCG00050027050.1)". The record is from RNAcentral. Lineage: Eukaryota; Metazoa; Chordata; Mammalia; Artiodactyla; Suidae.
AUUCCUUCUCGGUGGAGGGGCCUUGUUCCCCACAGGUGCUUCUGGGCCAUCCUCCUCCUGGCCCUGACCGUGUCCCUGCUGGCUGGCUUCCUGCACAAGGACGUCAGGCUGCUCAUGCCCCUACUCAAGGGCCAGGCUGAAGGGCCCCCCAUCACCAACGUCAUGUUCCUCAAGACGCACAAGACGGCCAGCAGCACGGUGCUCAACAUCCUCUUCCGCUUCGCCGAGACGCACAACCUGUCGGUGGCGCUGCCCGCGGGCCAGCGCGUCCACCUGGGCUACCCCUGGCUCUUCCUGGCGCGCUAUGUGGAGGGCGUCGAGGAGGGCGGCCCCGAGCAGCGCUUCAACAUCAUGUGCAACCACCUGAGGUUCAACCUGCCGGAGGUGCGGAAAGUCAUGCCCAACGACACUUUCUACUUUUCCAUCCUCAGAAACCCUGUCUUCCAGCUCGAGUCCUCCUUCAUCUAUUACAAGGGCUACGUCCCGGCCUUUAGGGACGUGGUCAGCCUGGAGGCCUUUCUGGCCUCCCCGGGGACCUACUACAACGAGAGCCAGGGCUUGCGCAACGCCUACGCCAGGAACGGCAUGUGGUUCGACCUGGGCUUCGACAACAACGCGCCUGCGGAGGACGCCUACGUGCGCGCGCGCCUGGCCGACGUGGAGCGGCGCUUCCAGCUGGUGCUCAUCGCCGAGCACUUCGACGAGUCCAUGGUGCUGCUGCGGCACCUGCUGCGCUGGCGGCUGGACGACGUCGUCUCCUUCCCGCUCAACUUGCGUAGCCCGGGCAGCGUCACCAGCCUGACGCCCGAGGGUCAGGAGCGCGCCAAGCGCUGGUGCGCCCUGGACUGGCGCCUCUACCAGCACUUCAACCGCACCUUCUGGGCGCGCCUGCGUACCGAGCUGGGCCCGCGGCGGCUGCGCUCUGAGGUGGCGCAGCUGCAGGCGCGGCAGCGCGAGCUCCAGGCCCUCUGCGUGCAGGACGGCGCCCCCAAGAACAAGUCGCAGAUCACCGACCUCAGGCUGCGUCCUUACCAGUCGGGCGAGGCCGACAUUCUGGGCUACAGCCUGAGGCCCGGCCUGGACAACCAGACGGUGCAGCUGUGUCAGAGGAUGGUCACGCCGGAACUCCAGUACACGGCCCGCCUGUACACGCAGCAGUUCCCAGAAAAGCCCCCCAAGAACAUACCCUUCCUGGGGGCGUAAUGGCCAUCGGUGCUGCCUCAGGCUCAGAGGGGGCUUCCCGGGGCAUCCAGGAGACCCAGGCCCCCCAGACCCCCCAGACCACAGGGCAAAUACGUCUGUGAAGGAACCCCCUGUGGUCUGUCCUCUUGGAGGCCUCCCUCUUUCGUGGGGGCCUCAAAUGCAGGACAACAGGCCCAGCUGGUCUGACGGCGUGAACCCGUUCAUUCCUCAAAUAGAAAAGUCUCACCGGGUAGGCAAGUUAGUUACAUGUCAGCACACUGUCCACCCAAAGACCAGGAGCCCAGGGAAUCGGGAGGGCCUGGGUCCCUGAUGAGCACGCGCUGGUCACCGAGUCCCGGUUUAGCACCCACAGGCAGCACUUUGAAGGUGGGCCUGGGGAGCAGGGACAGGGAGUGGGGUCUGGAACGUCCCGCUUCCCAUCUUUGGCUGUGUGAGGCGUGCUUCCAACCGAAAAACUUGAGAAAUCUUAGAAUUGCUUACGAGACAAAUGCUUCAGUCGGAACACAGGUCGAGGGUCAGGGCUGCAAUUCUGCUUUGGGGUAGCCCCCCUUCCCGAAUAUCCAGUGAAGGAGGAAGCCUGCUGGAGAGGAGGCUUCCAGGCAGCCCUCUUUGUGGUCUGUGGGGAGGGAGUGAGGAUGCCCUGCCUGGCAGGACGUGACCUCUGGCUGCUUAGGACGGGGUGCACACAUCCAGCUCCAUGUCCCUGUGCCCUUAGAAAAUUAGGCACCCGGAGCACCCAAGAAGCAGAGCCACUCUUCCACACUGAGCCGCCUGUCCACCUGGUGCGGGGUCCCCUUCGUUCCCUGUAGGCCCUCAUCUCUGAAGACCCCAGCACGUGCUCAAGGUGCUUCUCCGUCAGGGUGUGUCCUCACUUCUUAGGGGAAUCAGCCUCUCAAAAAAGGGAGACCCCCCCACACACCCACACACUGGAACAGGCAGCAGCUCCCUUGGGCAUCAACUUAAUGGAGGAGCUUCCAGUAGAAUGAAUUUUCAGUAAGAUUAGAGGACAUUUUGCAGUGAAUUUGAGAGGGAAAGAAUAUUUGGAAAGGGGAUAAAUGACUUCCAAAAAAAGCGGAAUAGGGAUAGUGAAGGAUAGAUGGACACGGAACCAGGGUCAGCUGGUGGACCCUCCAGAGGCUCCCCCAUCCUCUGCCGAGAGGAAAAUGCAAAGAAGGAACUUCCACGGGAGGGUGCAGAAGGGAAGGCAGAUCCAGGAUGAGCCGGCCCGCGAACGCUGGGUGUCCCUGAGAGUAAGGCCAUGGAUAAGUCCCACAGAGAAUGGGAGCGUUUACCUCCACUUAAAGGCGGAUGAAAUCUGUGCCCUGAACUUGGGCAGCUGCACCAAUCCCCGGAAAAAACAAGACAUCCACUCCCGCCCCGCCCCAGCCAGUGUGGGCAAGCAGAACGCGCUGCUGCUCGGCGGAGAGGGUGGGCACCGUCCACCACCCCGCCAGUGGGGCUGGGACCGCGGAUGUGGCGAGCAGCCGAGGACACGGAAUUACCAUAGAAAUCCAGCAGCAUUUGCGUUUGUCUUUGUGGCUGGCAGGAGUGUAAACCAGCUCUGUCUUUGUAGAGGAAAAUUUGUGGGUAUUUGUCACACCGCAAUAAAGCACAUGCGGUUUGUAACAGAGCUGUGGUUGUCCACCAGAAGGGGUGUUUAAAACGCUAAGUUCUAGGUGGCCAAGAAAGCUGGGAGUGACCUGUGCCUCUCCUUUGUGAUGCUUGGGUCAGGGCUGGUGAGCGGGGCCGCAAGUGACCAGGAUGGGGUGUGACUGUCCCAGCCAGCAGAGUCCAUGGGGGCGCGGGAAGCUGAGAGGGCAGACUGUGUAGUUUUCAAGAGAAGCUUUGUAAUACAGGUUUUUAUGUGAAACCUUCAUGUUUAAAAUGCUGGCAUCUAACUACAUCAUUAAA